GAUGAACGCUGACAGCAUGCUUAACACAUGCAAGUCAACUGUGGCGGACGGGUAAGUAACGCGUAAAGAACUUGCCUCACAGCUAGGGACAACAUUUGGAAACGAAUGCUAAUACCUGAUACUGUGAGAGAGCUUUGCGUCACAUUAGCUAGUUGGAGAGGUAACGGCUCACCAAGGCGAGGAUGGGUAGCCGGCCUGAGAGGGUGAUCGGCCACAAGGGGACUGAGACACGGCCCUUACUCCUACGGGAGGCAGCAGUGGGGAAUAGUGGACGAUGGACCAAAGUCUGAUCCAGCAAUUCUGUGUGCACGAUGAAGUUGUCGGAAUGUAAAGUGCUUUCAGUUGGGAAGCGGUACCAGCAGAAGAAGUGACGGCUAAAUACGUGCCAGCCGCCGCGGUAAUAC
RNAcentral lists this ribosomal RNA (404 nucleotides) under uncultured bacterium. Its description in RNAcentral is "partial 16S ribosomal RNA". It matches the Rfam family "Bacterial small subunit ribosomal RNA", at positions 28 to 526 of the family's 1533-position model. The record is from RNAcentral.